This 476-nucleotide ribosomal RNA is filed under the name uncultured bacterium. Its description in RNAcentral is "partial 16S ribosomal RNA". It matches the Rfam family "Bacterial small subunit ribosomal RNA", at positions 28 to 507 of the family's 1533-position model. The record is from RNAcentral.
GAUGAACGCUAGCGGCAGGCCUAACACAUGCAAGUCGAGGGAGAAGCCUUUCGGGGCAGAAACCGGCGCACGGGUGCGUAACGCGUAUGCAACCUACCUUUCACAGGGGGAUAGCCCGAAGAAAUUUGGAUUAAUACCCCAUAAUAUUGUUGGAUGGCAUCAUCUGAUAAUUAAAACUGCUGUGGUGAAAGAUGGGCAUGGGUCCUAUUAGCUGGUUGGAGUGGUAACGGCACCCAAAGGCUACGAUAGGUAGGGGUCCUGAAGGUGAGAUCCCCCACACGGGUACUGAGACCGGGACCCGACUCGUACGGGAGGCAGCAGUGGAGAAUAUUGGUCGAUGGUCGGUAGUCUGACCCAGCCAUGCCGCGUGCAGGAAGAAUGCCGUAUUGGUGGUAAUCUGCUUUUAGAUGGGAAGAAUAAGGUGUACGUGUACAUUGAUGACGGUACCAUAUGAAUAAGCACCGGCUAACUCCGUG